Molecule: unclassified non-coding RNA, 3598 nt
Filed under: Anthonomus grandis grandis
Lineage: Eukaryota; Metazoa; Arthropoda; Insecta; Coleoptera; Curculionidae
Description: uncharacterized LOC126748596
Source: RNAcentral
GCAUUAGUCACCCGCUCAUUACUGUUAUUUCAGUAAUUCCUUUAUUUUAAAAGAUAUUUAACUGCGGUUUUGAGUAAAGUUAUUUAAAUUUCCUAAAGAACACCGCUACAGAACGUUUUUUUUAUUUUUUUAUUUUUUUUAGUUUUUAAUUCUGCAAUAAUGAAAAAAAGUCGAAAAUUCGUCUAUAGCGGGAACAUAAAAUCAUUAUUAUAAAAUUAAGCCAAAUGGUAAAAUAUAAAAUUUUAAUUAAUAAAAGCGUAAUAUCAAUAACCGAAAAAUUGAAAAAACAGCUUUAAAUUUCCCAAUACCUGCGGCUUUUGCUGGCAGCUGGCAACGCAGCGCCGUGCGCCGCUUGUCUGGCUGGUGACGAGAGUCGUCCACGGAACGGGGGAGCUAUUCGAUAUUAUAUCAAUUUCGGUAAUUGCAUGCUACUGUUUUUCCGCUGUAAUUUCUAUACCUAUGAUUUUGUGCUUUUUGGGGUAGUUGUGUUUCGUGUUAUUAUUGUUUUUUCUUUUGUCUUUGCGUUUUUUAUUCUUAUCUAUUUUAUUGUGUAUUAGUUAACCAUUUUUUUAUUGGCGGUUUAAAAAAUUUUAAUAAUAAACAAUGGGUAAACGAAAGGAGGGUAAAAAAGAUGUGUAUUAUAUUAAUAAAAAAUCUUUAAAACAGAGAAUGAAACAAGCCCGAUCUAAUAAAAUAAACAAUUUAAGGUAAGUAUAAAACAGUUUUAACCUAAAUAAAGGUUUAUUAUUUACUUAGGUUUAUUAAAACUUUUUAAUCUUACUUUAUUUUAGAACUGCAUCUGAAACUUUUAAAAAUACUGUUUCUGUCGACUAUCUAGAAGAAAAGGCUCGCGAGGAAUCCAGUAAACCCUCGUGUGGUUAUAAUUAUCAAGAUUCUCAGCAACAAAUAUCGCCAACAAUUUUGAAUAAUUAUAGUGAGUUAAAUGUUGAAGAUUCUAUGAGUAUAGAAAAUGAUAAUAAACUUGAAAAUGGUGCUAAAAGUCAAAGCCAACAAGAAAAUAAUUUAGAAUCGGCGAAAAAAAGAAAAAAGUGCAAUGAAUUUGAGAUAGCAGGUAGGCGGAUAUUUGACGUUGAAUAUUUAUUUAAACAAUUUUUAAAUGGGGAACGGCAUAAACCGUUUGACUGCACUCUUGUGGAUAUGGAAUUGAUUAAAGAAAAGAGAAACGGAUUAUAUAGUGAAUUUACACUAAAAUGUAAAAUGUGUAACGUCACUAAAGUAAUUUCAAAUGAAGAAAAUAAAUUUCAACAACUUGAACUAAAUUCUUCAGUGGUUUUAAGCACCAUAUCUACCGGACUAGGCUAUUCACAAAUUAAUGAAGUAGCCGCUUCCAUGAAUAUGCCAUUUAUGUCUUAUAAAACGUUUAGCAGCCAUUAUGAGAAAGUGGGUCAUUUGAUUAGGGAAUCCUCAUGGAAGAGUAUGGAAGAAGCUGCCGCUGAAGAAGCUAGAAUCGCAACCAUUGAAGGCGAAGUGGAUAAAGAUGGAAUUCCAUGUAUUACCGUAGUGACCGAUGGGGCUUGGGCAAAGAGAUCCUACAAUGUCAAUUAUGAUUCUUCAUCUGGAGUGGUAAUACUAAUAAUAAUAAUAUCAAAAUCGAAAAUAGGCAUGUAUAGUUGGCUAUAAAACAGGGAAGUUGUUAUUUCUGGGAAUAAGAAAUAAAUUUUGUUCGUUAUGUUCCUGGUACGAAAAUAAAAAAAAAGACGUUCCAAUACAUAAAUGUCAUAAGAACUGGAACGGCACAUCUACAUCGAUGGAAGCUGACAUAGUAUUGGAGGGCUUUAAAAGAAGCAUGGAGCUUUACAAUUUAAAAUUUACAAAAAUGAUUGGUGAUGGAGAUUCCUCGGUCCACCGAAAAUUAUUGCAAUCAAAGCCUUAUGGUAAUAUGUUGGUGCAAAAGGUGGAGUGCAGGAAUCAUUUGUUGCGAAAUUUUGCCAAGAAAAUUCGAGAAAUAUGUAAUAAAAAACGAAGUAAUUCUAAAAAUGUACCUGUACCAUUAGCGUUAAGAAAAUAGGUUUUGAACAGAUUUUUAAGAUUAAGAAGUGCGAUAACAAAAGCCACCACUCACAGAAUCGCAGAAGACACCACGAUGGACCAAAAAAUUAAAUUGCUAAGGGGUGACAUCUCUAAUGCCCCAAGUCAUGUAUUUGGGGAACACGCCAGAUGUAAAGAAAUUAACUAUUUCAAGUGUGAUAAUCCAAAUUACACAAAUUUAGUGCCAAGUAUGCAGACUUGUGGAAUUUAUGAAGACAUCUUAGUAGCUUUGCAAAGAAUUAUAGAUAAUGCAAGCAGCCUAAUCCUCAAUAUGGACAAUAACCUCGCUGAGCAUUAUAACAGUAUUGUUAGCAAAUUUGUUGGUGGCAAGCGUAUAAAUUUUUGCAAACGAGGUUCAUAUGAAGCUCGCUGUGAGGCAGCUGCAUUGUCAUUUAAUUCUGGUGGUAGCUAUUAUGAAAUCCUUCAUAAAACCGCAAUAGGCACAAGCCCUCGUUCCUUUACUAAGCGGUAUAUUCAGAGAUGUAAAAAGAUAAGGCUGUUUUAUCAAACUAAAAGACUGCAAAAAACAUUAAUUUCAAAAAAAAAAAAAUAAGAAAAGAAAACAAACUCUUCCUGAUAAGGAUUAUGGUCCUGACGCCCAUUACAUUCCUUUAGAAAUAAACAGUGACGUUUUUAUUUCGAGGAAAAAAGAAAUCUUAAAAGAUAUGAAACAAAGUCCAGAGGAAAUAAAACAUAUUGAAAAUUCUACAAUUGGCCAGGCUUCUAAUCCAAAAUGGAUACAAGAAAGAUCACAGCGGAUUACUGCCUCAAAUUUUGGCAAAAUAUGUAAAAUGCGGGCAAAAACCUCGCCAUGUGGUGCAAUAAAAACGAUGCUGUAUGGAAAUUUUAGCGGCAAUAAUGCUACAAGAUAUGGAAGUGAAAGCGAGGCCCGAGCAAUUUUAGAAUUUGAAAAUGAAUUUAAUUUAAAAGUGUCUCGAUGUGGAAUUUUUAUAGGUGAACAAGAAUAUUAUUUGGCAGCGAGCCCUGAUGGUUGCAUUAAUGAACAUGAUUUGGUAGAAGUUAAAUGCCCAUUUAGCAUUGCCAACAUGACUCCAACCGAAGCAAUAUUAUCAAAAAAGAUCACAUUCGGUACAUUGGAAAAUAACCACCUACAUUUGAAAAAAAACCACAAUUAUUACUACCAAGUUCAGGGGCAGUUAGCUAUAGCUAACAAGCAAUCAUGCUAUUUUAUUAUUUGGAGCCCUCUUGGCAUGUUAGUUGAACAGAUUGGCCGUGACGAACAAUUUUGGGAGGAAAAAAUGUUACCAAAAUUAAAAGCCUUCUACUUCAAUUUUUUAUUACCAGAAAUAGUUGACCCGCUUUAUCCAAAAGGGCUGCCUAUCAGAACUUAAAAUUCUUCCGUUGGCGAAAAACCUGUCAACUGAAUUGAUGCAGAAGCUAAUUAAUUUUUUUUAAUUUAUUUCCUAAUAUGUAAAAACCUUAAUAAAUAUGUAUAUACGUUUUUUAUAUGUUUAUAUUUUUUUGUUAAUAUACGUUUCGUUCGUUUCUUUUUUUUUUAAUUUAUUGCAGUAUUUUCCCAUAAUUUCUA